UUUGCUGACGAGUGGCGGACGGGUGAGUAAUGUCUGGGAAACUGCCUGAUGGAGGGGGAUAACUACUGGAAACGGUAGCUAAUACCGCAUAACGUCGCAAGACCAAAGAGGGGGACCUUCGGGCCUCUUGCCAUCGGAUGUGCCCAGUAUGGGAUUAGCUAGUAGGUGGGGUAACGGCUCACCUAGGCGACGAUCCCUAGCUGGUCUGAGAGGAUGACCAGCCACACUGGAACUGAGACACGGUCCAGACUCCUACGGGAGGCAGCAGUGGGGAAUAUUGCACAAUGGGCGCAAGCCUGAUGCAGCCAUGCCGCGUGUAUGAAGAAGGCCUUCGGGUUGUAAAGUACUUUCAGCGGGGAGGAAGGGAGUAAAGUUAAUACCUUUGCUCAUUGACGUUACCCGCAGAAGAAGCACCGGCUAACUCCGUGCCAGCAGCCGCGGUAAUACGGAGGGUGCAAGCGUUAAUCGGAAUUACUGGGCGUAAAGCGCACGCAGGCGGUUUGUUAAGUCAGAUGUGAAAUCCCCGGGCUCAACCUGGGAACUGCAUCUGAUACUGGCACAGCUUGAGUCUCGUAGAGGGGGGUAGAAUUCCAGGUGUAGCGGUGAAAUGCGUAGAGAUCUGGAGGAAUACCGGUGGCGAAGGCGGCCCCCUGGACGAAGACUGACGCUCAGGUGCGAAAGCGUGGGGAGCAAACAGGAUUAGAUACCUGGUAGUCCACGCCGUAAACGAUGUCGACUUGGAGGUUGUGCCCUUGAGGCGUGGCUUC
This 767-nucleotide ribosomal RNA is filed under the name bacterium SM_3. Its description in RNAcentral is "bacterial SSU rRNA". It matches the Rfam family "Bacterial small subunit ribosomal RNA", at positions 84 to 846 of the family's 1533-position model. The record is from RNAcentral.